CACAUCAGUAGUGGUUAUACUAUCUCAAGAUAUAUAACUUAUUUACUUAGAAACCCAGCAAACCUUCUUACUAGCGUUAUGCUCGGUAUUAGGGUUUGCGAUCAGCUAAAUGCCUAUUGACUUUUUUAACAGAGAAGUCACAAUAGCUAUUUCGUUUCGGUUUCUUAGAUUUAUUUGGCAUAU
This 183-nucleotide non-coding RNA is filed under the name Komagataella phaffii GS115. RNAcentral's name for it is "Komagataella pastoris GS115 Small nucleolar RNA snR37". It matches the Rfam family "Small nucleolar RNA snR37", at positions 1 to 274 of the family's 385-position model. Lineage: Eukaryota; Fungi; Ascomycota; Pichiomycetes; Pichiales; Pichiaceae. The record is from Rfam by way of RNAcentral.